GUUUUUUUGAAAAUAAUUUAAAGUUUAAUUUGCCCMCUGAAUAAAUUUAAAGGGCUGCAGUAUAUUGACUGUACAAAGGUAGCAUAAUCAAUAGUYUUUUAAUUGAAGACUUGUAUGAAUGAUUUGAUGAAAUAUAAGCUGUCUCUUUAUUAAAAAUAGAAUUUAAUUUUUUAGUUAAAAAGCUAAAAUAUUUAUAAAAGACGAGAAGACCCUAUAGAGUUUUAUAUUUAUUGUUAAUUUAAUUUUAUAUAAAAAUUUAAAUUAAAUUAUUAAUAAAUAUUUUAUUGGGGUGAUAGAAAAAUUAAAAAAACUUUUUUUAAAAAAAUUACAUUGAUAUAUGAAUAUAUGAUCCAUAAUUUAUGAUUACAAGAAUAAAUUACCUUAGGGAUAACAGCGUAAUUUUUUUUUUUAGUUCAAAUAAAAAUUAAAGUUUGCGACCUCGAUGUUGGAUUAAGAUAAAAUUUAAAUGCAAAAGUUUAAAAUUUUGAUCUGUUCGAUCAUUAAAAUCUU
This 510-nucleotide ribosomal RNA is filed under the name Ixias pyrene. Its description in RNAcentral is "partial 16S ribosomal RNA". The record is from RNAcentral. Lineage: Eukaryota; Metazoa; Arthropoda; Insecta; Lepidoptera; Pieridae.